AAUCAUUUUAUUGAUAUUACGCAAUAAAUAUGUACAAAUAAAGUUUUUCGGAAAUCAUUUUUUAACUUACUGGGAGCAUUGCAAUAUGUUUCGAAAAUAUGUAAACUGAAAUAUUUUAUAUUUUUUGCCUGCCGAAAAAACAAUGUCUAUUUUAAUAUAAAGCGAAUAGUGAUAAAGAAAUAUAGAUACCAAGAAAUUAAACCAAGCACGGAAUGUGCAAAUUUUGCCUGUGGUUGGUUUGUACAUUUGUCGUCCUGUUAAUGCUGUUCGUGGCCAUGCAGUUUAUUGGCAUUGUGGAACAUAAAGAGAACGAGAAUGUUGUGAGAGAAUUCUUUAAGUAUAUAUCGAGCGCUAUGAAAGCUUAUUUAUAAUUUGUCAAAUAUAAAAAUUAUAUUUAAUA
This is a long non-coding RNA of Bactrocera oleae (olive fruit fly), 400 nucleotides long. RefSeq lists it as uncharacterized. NCBI's taxonomy places the organism in Eukaryota, Metazoa, Arthropoda, Insecta, Diptera, Tephritidae. The record is from RefSeq and is a predicted model, not a curated record.